RNAcentral lists this ribosomal RNA (274 nucleotides) under uncultured bacterium. RNAcentral describes it as "partial 16S ribosomal RNA". It matches the Rfam family "Bacterial small subunit ribosomal RNA", at positions 523 to 796 of the family's 1533-position model. The record is from RNAcentral.
AUACGGAGGGUGCGAGCGUUAAUCGGAAUUACUGGGCGUAAAGCGUACGUAGGCGGUUGGUUAAGUUAGAUGUGAAAGCCCCGGGCUUAACCUGGGAACUGCAUUUAAAACUGGCGAACUAGAGUUGAGUAGAGGGGAGUGGAAUUUCAGGUGUAGCGGUGAAAUGCGUAGAGAUCUGAAGGAACACCAGUGGCGAAGGCGACUCCCUGGACUAAAACUGACGCUGAGGUACGAAAGCGUGGGUAGCAAACAGGAUUAGAUACCCCAGUAGUCC